This is a small nucleolar RNA of Struthio camelus australis, 71 nucleotides long. The record is from Ensembl. NCBI's taxonomy places the organism in Eukaryota, Metazoa, Chordata, Aves, Struthioniformes, Struthionidae.
CAUCUGUGAUGAUCCUAUCCCGAACCUGAAUUCUUUGCUGAAAAACCUAAUACGGAUCCGGCAUCUGAGAU